ACAAACACGCCGUGGAUGUCUCUUGGUUGUAGGCGCCGUCAAGGAGCGCGACGUCUGCGGCGCGCGGCGGCAGGCCCGACGCCAUUGUAUGUGCCAGACGCAUGACGGCCAACAUGGGCGCAUAGGCAAAGUGCCCGUCGUUCUGGACGCACAGCGUCGCCAGAGUGUUCCAGAGGUCGCACGGGCGAUCCCAUCCGGCGCGGUCGCCACGGGCAUCCAACAUGGCCAGUAGGCCCGUCAGGCCAGUGAGGCUGCGCGUGAGGACGUAGAACCGAAACAUGUCUUCAACGCCGUCCGGUCCACAUUCAGUGAGAAAGGGCACUGGCCAGCGCCGACCGACAUAGAGCGCCACCUCGGCGACGGUGAGGGGUUCCAUGCUGCCGUUGGCCACAUCGAGAGCGCGGGCCAUGUCAGCGUACGAGCCGCCUCCUAGGCACGUCUCGCACAGCCAUGCCACCAUGGCGACCGUGGCGUGCGGUCGCACGAGUGGUCGCACGAGCGCGCUGACGAUGGCGCCGUGCACGUCCAACGGCUCAUCCUUGGUUAUCGGUCUUUGUGCCCGCGCCCACAGCCACUGCGCGAGCCUCUGGCGACCGGCCGUAGCCGCCAAAGCAAACACUGCGUUGGCAUCAAAGGCCACGCCGCGUGCGUCCAAGAGGGCCAAUAGACGCCACCGGCCCUUGAUGACCGCCGCACGCAGCCAACCUCUAGGCGCAUCAAGCGUCGCCGGCGGCAUCGGGUCCAGGUGGCCGCAGGCGGCCAAGUCCAAGAGACGCGUAAAGCAGCACGGGUCAGCCGCCUCGGCCGCGGCCGUCCAGCAUCCGCUGUCAGGAGGCCAACGUGCAACCGUGCGGUCGUCGAUGAGGUCCACCCGUCCGUGCCGGCACGCUGUUGAAAUAAUGUCGCGGCUACGCACUGUGUGGCCAUACCAGACGUCAAUGUCGGCCACGGUCAAAAUACAUCCACGCUGGAUGGCCACGUCCCAUAGGACGCCAAGAAGGCCUUGGGCGUCGCCGCGGGUGUCAUCGUCCCACUCGUCGUAUUCUCCCGCCUGGCGGUUCAUGUCGAGAUCGCCAUCUCCGUUGCCAAAGGUGCACUUGGCGUCGAGCGCACAUCGCACGGCCCAGCGCUCUCCCGACGCCACCAUGGCGGCCAAGACUUGCUUGCGCGUGGCCGAUGCCACCUCUGCACACCAUCUGUAAAUCGAGUCGGCAUCGGCCGGCGACCAGCGGCCAUCCGAGAUCAUGUCGGCGACGGCAGAUGCGCAGACCACCCUGCCCGUGGACCACUUGGGACAGCCAACAGGCGCCUGUUGGUGUAUGGUGGUGGAGCGCUUGUGCGGAUGGCCGCCCAUGGCGGCGGCCUCGGACGCGCUCGGGUGCGCGACCACCUCGGCCCACAGGCGGCAGACGGCGCGCGCGGCAAAGCGCCACCGCGGAUCGAGGGACGGACGACUGCGUCGAGGCGGACCCGAGCGCCACGCUGGCCUCGACGUUGGUGGCGCCCACCCGUUGAGCACCAUGCGCAACAGUUCAGGUGGCAAGUCGUUGAUGGUGAGCCUGUAGUUCAUUUUCGUCUGUUCUUUUUUUUGCGGCACUGCACCCAUCAAAUACAAACCUUGUU
Molecule: long non-coding RNA, 1623 nt
Filed under: Pandoravirus celtis
Description: hypothetical ncRNA
Source: RNAcentral